RNAcentral lists this ribosomal RNA (421 nucleotides) under Pyrsonympha grandis. RNAcentral's name for it is "bacterial SSU rRNA". It matches the Rfam family "Eukaryotic small subunit ribosomal RNA", at positions 448 to 780 of the family's 1831-position model. The record is from RNAcentral. Lineage: Eukaryota; Preaxostyla; Oxymonadida; Pyrsonymphidae.
AUAACAUUGCUGAGGUAGUGACAAAAAAUACCGAUAUCGGACUAUGGUUCGACAAUUGGAAUGGGGUGGGUGCAAACAGCCCGCCGAGCAACCAUUAGAGGGCAAGUCUGGUGCCAGCAGCCGCGGUAAUUCCAGCUCUAAUAGUGUAUACUAACGUUGCUGAUGUUAAAAAGCUCGUAGUUGGAUUUCAGACGGGGCUAUACGUCUUUGUGUUUUUUGUCGGGCCGGGUUUGCUGGUUGGAGGUUUUCUUCUCUGCCGUGGGUUGUUUCAAGAUCCCGGUGGGGGAGGGGCACUGGUCAGCUCCGGAACGGCCGCAGAGAUUGCCUCGUCAAUAAAUUUUUUCGAAUUGACGUGGUCCUCUUUAUUGAGGUAUUGCGUCGGUCCGGAAGGUUUACUUUGAAGAAAAUGGAGUGUUCAAAG